UACGUAGGGGGCAAGCGUUGUCCGGAAUUAUUGGGCGUAAAGAGCUCGUAGGCGGUCUGUCGCGUCUGGUGUGAAAACUCAGGGCUUAACCCUGAGCUUGCAGUGGGUACGGGCAGACUAGAGUGCGGUAGGGGAGACUGGAAUUCCUGGUGUAGCGGUGAAAUGCGCAGAUAUCAGGAGGAACACCGGUGGCGAAGGCGGGUCUCUGGGCCGUAACUGACGCUGAGGAGCGAAAGCAUGGGGAGCGAACAGG
Molecule: ribosomal RNA, 253 nt
Filed under: uncultured bacterium
Lineage: Bacteria
Description: partial 16S ribosomal RNA
Rfam family: Bacterial small subunit ribosomal RNA
Source: RNAcentral